This 73-nucleotide transfer RNA is filed under the name Jatropha curcas. It matches the Rfam family "tRNA". Rfam says of the family: Transfer RNA (tRNA) molecules are approximately 80 nucleotides in length. Their secondary structure includes four short double-helical elements and three loops (D, anti-codon, and T loops). Lineage: Eukaryota; Viridiplantae; Streptophyta; Magnoliopsida; Malpighiales; Euphorbiaceae. The record is from Rfam by way of RNAcentral.
GAUGAUGUAGCUCAGAUGGUAGAGCACUCGCUUAGCAUGCGAGAUGUACGGGGAUCGAUACUCUGCAUCUUCA